CAGUGAGUCACCUCCUCUCCUCUCCACCGUGGGGAUCGCAGCACAGUGGUUCCCAACCUUUUUCGGCCUCUGACCCCAUUUCCAGCUCUGAAAACGUUGGAAGACGAUCCUUUCACAUUCAUGCUUCCUGAAGAACAGUCUUCACCCAAUCAACAUCUGCCGCAUUCCACUGUGACCCCAUAUGCAUAUCAGACGACCCCAAGUGGGCCCCCGACACCAAGGUUGGGAACCACUGAGCCAGCAGCAUGAUGAACGUCUUCAGGUGGAUGAGUCUUCAUGUGAUGGAUGGGCCAUGUGGAAUUUGAGGCGGUGAUUUCCUGGAUUCCCCAGCACAGCAUCAGCCCCGGCGUGUAUUGUUUCAGGACCGAUAGACGAGACUCCUAUCCCUUCAUGACCUUGUUCAGAGUGAGCGACUGGUCUCCGGCAACAGCCACUCGCUUGGAGAUGGAUGGCAUGAGUCAAAACGUGAUUUGCUAGGAAGUACAUUGCUUCUUGUAAACACUCGGGAAAUGUCCAUUGUGGACAGGCGCACGCUGAAAUAAAUUCUCACAAAAGUUGACACGUGUUGUUAGGGUUUUGUUUUCGUCGUUCCAAGCACCUUUUUUUAUGCGAAGUGGGCCAACGUGUCAAACCUCGAUUCCCCGCGCGCUUGUUGAAAAAGUUCUGGGAUUCAGGGUCCGGCUGUCU
This 687-nucleotide long non-coding RNA is filed under the name Gadus morhua (Atlantic cod). RNAcentral's name for it is "lncRNA (ENSGMOG00000034859.1)". The record is from RNAcentral. Lineage: Eukaryota; Metazoa; Chordata; Actinopteri; Gadiformes; Gadidae.